UGGGAAGAUGCGCCAGAGAGGGUGACAGCCCCGUAAGCGAAAUCCAAAGAAAGCCUAUCAGGAUCCUGAGUAGGGCGGGACACGAGAAAUCCCGUCUGAAUCCGCGAGGACCAUCUCGCAAGGCUAAAUACUAACCAGUGACCGAUAGUGAACCAGUACCGUGAGGGAAAGGUGAAAAGAACCCCGGGAGGGGAGUGAAAGAGAACCUGAAACCGUGUGCCUACAAGUAGUCAGAGCCCGUUAAAGGGUGAUGGCGUGCCUUUUGUAGAAUGAACCGGCGAGUUGCGUUAGCCAGCGAGGUUAAGUCAGAAAAGACGGAGCCGCAGCGAAAGCGAGUCUGAAUAGGGCGAGCAGUUGGCUGAUGCAGACCCGAAACCAAGUGACCUACCCAUGACCAGGUUGAAGGCGCGGUAAAACGCGCUGGAGGACCGAACCCACGUAAGUUGAAAAUUGCGGGGAUGAGUUGUGGGUAGCGGUGAAAUUCCAAACGAACUUGGAGAUAGCUGGUUCUCUCCGAAAUAGCUUUAGGGCUAGCCUCGCAAAGAGGAUGCUGGAGGUAGAGCUCUGUUUGGACUAGGGGCCCGUCAGGGGUUACUGAAUCCAGAUAAACUGCGAAUUCCAGACAUUUAUAUGCGGGAGUCAGACUGCGAGUGAUAAGAUCCGUAGUCGAAAGGGAAACAGCCCAGAUCACCAGUUAAGGUCCCUAAAUACAUGCUAAGUGGAAAAGGAUGUGGAGUUGCGCAGACAACUAGGACGUUGGCUCAGAAGCAGCCAUCAUUCAAAGAGUGCGUAAUAGCUCACUAGUCGAGUGACGCCGCGCCGAAAAUUUACCGGGGCUAAGCAUGAUACCGAAACUGUGGAUGCAUACAAAAGUAUGCGUGGUAGGAGAGCGUUCCAGCGGCGAAGAAGCAUGACUGAGAAGACAUGUGGAGCUUCUGGAAGUGAGAAUGCCGGUAUGAGUAACGAAAGACAGGUGAGAAUCCUGUCCGCCGCAAGACUAAGGUUUCCUGGGGCAGGCUCGUCCGCCCAGGGUAAGUCGGGACCUAAGGCGAGGCCGAGAGGCGUAGUCGAUGGACAACAGGUAGACAUUCCUGUACUGCACCCAAUCGUUAUGAGCGAAGGAGGGACGCAGGAGGCUAGCAGCGCAUGGUGCUGGAAACCAUGUUCAAGCGCUGAGUCUGGAAAUGAGUCAAAUGCUUAUUUCCUUAAGGACAAGGCGUGAUGAGGAGCGAAAUUAAAGUAGCGAAGGCUGCGACGUCACACUGCCAAGAAAAGCUUCUAGCCAGAGAAGGUGCACCCGUACCGCAAACCGACACAGGUAGUCGAGGAGAGUAUCCUCAGGUGAGCGAGAGAACUCUCGUUAAGGAACUCGGCAAAAUGGCCCCGUAACUUCGGGAGAAGGGGCGCUGGUCGCAAGAUCAGCCGCAGUGAAAAGGCCCAAGCAACUGUUUAUCAAAAACACAGGCAUCUGCAAAAUCGUAAGAUGAAGUAUAGGUGCUGACACCUGCCCGGUGCUGGAAGGUUAAGAGGAGAGCUUAGCGCAAGCGAAGGUUUGAAUUGAAGCCCCAGUAAACGGCGGCCGUAACUAUAACGGUCCUAAGGUAGCGAAAUUCCUUGUCGGGUAAGUUCCGACCUGCACGAAAGGUGUAAUGAUUUGGGCACUGUCUCAACGAGAGACUCGGUGAAAUUAUAAUACCCGUGAAGAUGCGGGUUACCCGCGACAGGACGGAAAGACCCCAUGGAGCUUUACUGCAGUUUAAUAUUGGGUAUCUGUCAAGCAUGUACAGGAUAGGUAGGAGCCGGAGAAGAUAGGACGCCAGUCUUAUCGGAGGCGCUGUUGGGAUACUACCCUUGCUUGACGGAUGCUCUAACUCAGGCGUGUAAACCAGGCCGAGGACAGUGUUUGACGGGCAGUUUGACUGGGGCGGUCGCCUCCUAA
RNAcentral lists this ribosomal RNA (1939 nucleotides) under Lactobacillus equicursoris DSM 19284 = JCM 14600 = CIP 110162. RNAcentral describes it as "bacterial LSU rRNA". It matches the Rfam family "Bacterial large subunit ribosomal RNA", at positions 343 to 2293 of the family's 2925-position model. The record is from RNAcentral. Lineage: Bacteria; Bacillati; Bacillota; Bacilli; Lactobacillales; Lactobacillaceae.